RNAcentral lists this small nucleolar RNA (209 nucleotides) under Carlito syrichta (Philippine tarsier). RNAcentral's name for it is "Small nucleolar RNA U3 (ENSTSYG00000021476.2)". It matches the Rfam family "Small nucleolar RNA U3". Rfam says of the family: Small nucleolar RNAs (snoRNAs) are involved in the processing and modification of rRNA in the nucleolus. Lineage: Eukaryota; Metazoa; Chordata; Mammalia; Primates; Tarsiidae. The record is from Rfam by way of RNAcentral.
AAGACUAGACUUUCAGCGAUCAUUUCUAUAGGUUAUUACUAGAGAACUUUCUCUAAACAGGUAGAGCACCCAAAACCGUGAGGAGUUGGUUCAGUGUUCUCUCCUGAGCAUGGAGCUGGCGUGUUUUCGCUGCAAUGGCCAUUUGCCAUUUGUUUGUUCUUCUUCUCUUCUUCUUGGACAUUAAAGGAAGAGAACAGAACCUGAGUAGU